UGGCAAUGUCCAUUCAGGUUGUAUUUAUGGAGUACACAAUACAUGUAUUUAGUACAAUGUGUGUAUGGUAGUCGACUGGACUCUUGUGCGAAAAGAUCCUUGCAAAGUGCGGCAUUGGGAUUCAGAAGAUUUGUAACUGGCAUCACAGUAUUUUCUUCACUGAACCUUCAUGAACAUGAAUGACUGCACAGUUUAUGCUACAGGCACAAAAAGUAAAGAAAGACUUUGGUCCGAGGUUUUCCACGGCACAUGGUAGUACCGCUUCGUCCCCACGUUUGAUCGUGAUGUUGGCUGGCGUGUCGAGAAAUCCAGGCAACAUGUAUCUGAGUGGACGUGUUCCAGCAGCUGAAAGGAAAACAAUAAAAUCAUUUUAAAAAUUA
Long non-coding RNA from Gigantopelta aegis, 380 nucleotides. RefSeq lists it as uncharacterized. Lineage: Eukaryota; Metazoa; Mollusca; Gastropoda; Neomphalida; Peltospiridae. The record is from RefSeq and is a predicted model, not a curated record. The transcript is spliced from 3 exons.